CCAAGAACUUGGAACAACCAUCUCUGAGCAUGCAAAACUGAUGCUGCAUUGGGGAAGACAAGGUUCUAAACAGAGAGCAACCAUAAAAUGGUACUUAGGAAUAAAAGGCAGUUUCUAAAAGAAGAAGACAGUGUGAACUCGGUGGCACACAAUCCUGAAAAUAUAAUUGAGUGCACCGCAGCCAGGAAAUGGAGUGAGAUGGCUGUUCAUCAAUAAAAACAAUAUUGAAAAGGAGGCCUCGUCCUCUGGCUCCAUGACAGUUAGCCUGCCUUUGCUUCUUCAUCCUGCCUUGAGAGAAACAAAAAGAAAAGGAAAACCCCCACUUAAAUCAAAGAAUGAGGAGGAAAUUCAUGUUUGAUUCUCACUUCUGGAAAAUAAUCCAUAUUUAGGUUCUCAUCUGAUCUUCCAGAUUGUUCACUUGAACAUUUGUGCUACCAGAAAACGUUACAUGAAAGACUGGAAGAAGGAAUUGACACGGGAGGCAGGCAAUGGAGAAAGGGUCUAUAACCCUUCCUUGCAAUCGGGGGUCUUUGGCUGUUUGAAGGAGGCCUUGGGGGAAGCUGUGCAGCCAAGUGAGUGUGCAGGACUCACUGGGCCCAGUGUACACGAGACAUGUCAGCAGGAGCCAAGAACAUGAUCACUGUGAGUUCUCUGCUGGAGGCAAAACCGUGAGGUCCUUCUCAUUUCUAAGUCAAAAAUCUAAAUUAUCUUCCAACAUGGCACCUUCUCUGUUUUCUGGAAACUGCCACCUUCCACUUGCAGCCCAAAGAACUUGCUCUGUUUUGCAAAAUUGGAAGACAAGUAUUCUUCACCAGUAGAGCCAGGAGUUCAGUGCCCCAUGCUCUGUUCUCCCAUAGGAACAAUCUCUCCAGAUUAUAAUGGACUUUGAUGGACGAUGAGAGAAGCCUGGCACUGUGACAAGUCCUGGAGUUAAAAGCACUGGGACAAAAGCCAGGAGACCUAAGUUCUCAUCUCCACUCUAUCCCUGGUUAGCUGCGUGAUUCUGGGCAGGUCACUUUGAACUUGUGUUUGCUCAUCUAUGACUGUUUCUCCUCUGGAGUAGCAAUGCUUAUCCUAUCUAGUUCACACAAAUUGUUGAGACAAUAAAAUGGGAUGAAAAAUCACCAUUUUUUAGUGUAAUGACUGGAACUCCCUUAGUAUUUAGAACAGGCAUCAACCAAAUCUGAUUUGAGGCGCCAUGUUGAGAAACUUUGACACAAGUCAAGGCAGGUUUGAGAGACUGGACAGGUGGGGAUAUCAGAAGAAUGAAUUGAGGUACACAGUGCAAGGGAUCAGGGAAGCUAGAUAAGAUGCAGGCUGGCCCCUCUAGAAAUGCCAUCCAAUCUCAGCCAGGCAUGGUGGCUCACGCUUACAAUCCCAGCACUUUGGGAGGCCGAGGUGCGUGGAUCGCCUGAGGUCAGGAGUUCGAGACCAGCCUGGCCAAUAUGGUGAAAACCCGUUUCUACUAAAAAAAAAAAAAAAGAAAGAAAAAAAAUUAAAAAAAUUAGCUGGGCGUCAUGGUGGGUGCCUAUAAUCCCAGCUACAUGGGAGGCUGAGGCAGGAAAAUCACUUGAACCUGGGAGGCGGCACUUGCAGUGAGCCGAGAUAGUGCCAUUGCACUUCAGCCUGGGCAACAAGAGUGAAACUCUGUCUCAAGAAAAAAAAAAAAAAGCCACCCAAUCUCAUGCAGAGAGAGCACCAGCAAAGGCAGGUGGACCCCCUCCAGGGUGUCAGUAUUCAGAGUCUGGAAGGGAGAAGAGUUGGUUUCCUAAUAAGUGGACUGACUCCCAUCAGUAGCAGGGGCUCUAGAGUAUAGAACUCUACCUUCUGUGAGAGGAUGUGGCUAAGUGUCCAGGCCAAAGGCUAGCAAAGGAUGCUAAUAGAGACUUGAAGCCCCAGGCAAUGAGACCAAGGAUAGUUUAACAUGGCGGGAGGCAGGGGAGAGAGGAAAAUGCUGCAAUUUGUAGGAUCUCAAACCAAAUCCAGAUUCUAUCUCCUGCUGAGCUCAGGCAGCUGAUAUGUUCUUGCUUUGGUCAGGACUGGCUGGGGUUGUCUGGGCUGAGAGGCCCUCCCGCAAACCCCCUCACCCAAAUGCAAUCCGGCUGACCAUUGUGUGGGGAUUCUCCAGCAUUUUGAACCUUUUCUUUGGUCAGAAAUACUUGAAUGACUCAGAGAGUUUCCCAAUAAAAGAUGAAUUGCCAGGAGAUAACGCAUUAAACUAUGAACUGACAUUCUUACUUUAAUAUAAAUGUACUUCAUUGGGUUAUCUCCUUCCACCACUAGAGCUCCAAGGAAAUGAAAUGGAGAAGAGGGAGCUUAUAAAACACUAAUGACAAACUUUGCCUAUUCUCAUAUUGUGACUUGUCCUUGUAGGAAAGGCCACCAGGAGCAGGCGUGUGAGUUGGGUCCUGUUGAAGCCUUCAGUGGGUGGGUAGGGAUGGGGCAGGCACAGUGCAGAGAAAGAGGUGCUUCCCAGAGGGGUGGCUAAUUGCAAUUCCUCUGCCCAGAGAAGACAUCUUUUUCUAAGCCACACAAAGGCAUCCUAAGUGUUUGAAAAUGCCAGGGCAGCAAAAUUGCCACAGGCCCUAUUGAAUAGUUCAGGCUAGCUGCUUUCCAGACUGCAAGGUCUAAAGAAUGCAGAGGAAGCCUUGCAGAGCUAUGGUGCCUGUGCAGAGACCUGGGAGGUGAGAGGGAGACGGUUUCUCUUUUGCUGCCUGGAGUUCUUGAGGAAAGGAGGCCGAGGCUGUCAGCAGGUCAGAUCAGUCAGGAAGCGGUCAACCACUUUCAAAGACUCUUAUUUUCAGUGAAAGUUUCCAAGUGAUAAUAACAUCUCUCAGUAUCGAAACUUUGAGAAUGAAUUUUCAGCUCCCCAGUGAUGGAUAAAACACCAUCGGAAAGUGUGACAGUCCCCCUGCACAUCCGGCUCAGUCAGAGGGAAAUGGAUGAUACUCACAGAGAAGAAAAAUUGCAAGGCAGGCAACCCAGGAUGUAUUGCAGUCAUAACCCAGGAAAACCUUCCACCACAUUUCUGCUAUCUACAAACAAAUGUGCCGGGCUAAUUUUCUGCUGAAAGACAGCGUGCCUGUACUAAACUGGCUUCAUUAACUCAAUUGGAAAAAAUGAUUUUGCAAUUUGCAUGGGGCUUAAGAGUGUAAUUAAUACAAUUCAUAAAAGGCCAGUGCCACUUUGCAGACAUUAGCCCCAUGGGGGAUUGUGCAGUGGCAUGCUUUGGAGAGAGUUCUUAUGUCUGCAAUUCCAGCAGCCAACUUUGCCCUGCCUUCUUGGCGGGACAUCCUCAUCUUUAUUUCAAUAAAACUAGACUCGCAUUGCCUUUCUCUUUAGGGAUUUCUCACCAGUGCCCUCUCCCCCAUCAUUCAGCUGCCCAGUAGUAGUUGAUUUCAUUUGGAUGAAAAGCAAAGAAUGCUUGAAGAUGAGGGAUUAAGGAUGGAGGCAGGAAGAAAUAAUGUCCCCAUGUACCUCACUUUCCACCCAAUUUCUUGUUGUGUGUGUUGAUGUCUUAAGAGGUUGGUUGAGUGCUGAAGACCUAGGUUUCUCUUACCCCUAGAAGACAGUUAACAGGCCUGGCUUUUUAUAAAUCUGUGUCCAAGCAAGGAUUGCCUGUAAUGUGGGGAGAGGGAAAAGGGUGGUGAGAUGGAGACGCUGGGCUUUGAGAAUGAAAGGAGAGAGAUGUGGGCCUAUGGUGGGCACCUGUAUGUGAGAAGAGGGGAGGUUUGUGUUGAUAGAACCUGUUUGUCCAGAAGUCUCAUCUUGGUGAGAGGCAAAUAUGUCUAUUUUAUUUUACUGUAUUUUAUGUAUUUAUUUUUUGAGAUGGAGUCUCCAACUGUAGCCCAGGCUGGAGUGCAGUGGCAUGAACUCGGCUCACUGCAACCUCCACCUCCCAGGUUAACACAAUUCUCCUGCCUCAGCCUCCCGAGUAGCUGGGACUACAAGUGCGUGCCACCAAACCUGGCUAAUUUUUUGUAUUUUUAGUAGAAACAGGGUUUCAUUAUAUUGGUCAGACUGGUCGCCAACCUCAUGAUCUGCCCACCUUGGCCUCCCAAAGUGCUAGGAUUACAGGCAUGAGUCACCGAGCCCAGCCUAUUUUUUUUUUUUAGACAAAGGGUUUAGCUCUGUUGCCCAGGCUGGAGUGCGGUGGCAUGAUCAUAACUCACUGUAACCUCUACUUCCAGGGCUCAAGUGAUCCUCUCAUCUCAGCCGCCUGAGUAAUUGGGACCACAGGUGUGUGCCAGCACACCCAGCUAAUUAAAAAAAAAAAAGUUUCUGUAUAGAUGGGGUCUCAUUAUGUUGCCCAGGCUGGUCUGGAACUCCUGGCCUCAAAUGAUUCCCCACCCCAGCCUCCCAAAUGCUGGGAUUGUAAGCAUGAGCCAACAUACUUGGCCUGUCUUUAUUUAUUUUUUAAAAUACUUUGUCUUCAACCAUGUUCUGCCAAAAAUCCCUUUCCUGUCCCUUAAAUUUGAGGCAGAUACCACGUUUGCUACAUACUUUCAGAUAUUAAAAGCUCACCCAGUUACUCAUCCAUAGCCAUUAAGGAAAUGCAAGUCAAAACCACAAUGAGAUAUGACUUCACACUCAUUGUUAAAGAAAAAAAAUAUUCUGAAGCUUGUUAAAAUAGCAAGAAGAUUUUAUUUAGGACGAUUGCAAUAGGUGUCAAGGCUAUCACAAUAGGGGAGAGAGCUCAGGCUCAAGGUAGCAAAGGCAGCUGGAGGCUUCUAGCCAAUGAGCAGAGUGAGGGGUCAGUGGGUAGAAAACUAAAACAGGUGACAUCACGGAUAGGAAGACUUGCUGAACUGACUUAGGAUUCUUGCUGAAGGCAGGUUGGGGACUUCUACAUCAAAGGUGGGGGAUGAGGAACUGGCUGAGAUAUUAAGAGUGGGGGGAUUCUUGCUAAACUGAAUUAGCAAGAUUCUUGCUACCAUUGGACUAGACAGGCGAAAGACAGGGCUAAGGACAAGGCCCAGUGAAAAAGAGGGCUUACAGCAGCCUAAUUAAUGUCUGAUCAAAGAGGGAGUAUUUGUCCCCAUAAGGAUGACGAUUAUUUAAAAAAAAAAAAAAAAAGAAAAGAAGUGUUGAGGAGGAAUGAAGAGAAAUUGAAACCUUUGUGCAUUGCUGAUAAGAAUGUAAAAUGGUACAGCCAAUAUGGAAAACAGUUUGACAAUUCGUCAAAAAGUUAAACAGAGAAUUACCAUAGGAUUUAGCAAUUCCGCUCCUAGGCAGAUACCUAAAAUAAAAUGAAAGCAGGGACUCAAACAGACACUAGUUGAUAUAGUUUGGCUAUUUGUCCCCCUCAAAUCCCAUGUUAAAGUGUAAUCCCCAAUGUUGGGGGUGAGGCCUGGUAGGAGAUGAUUGGAUCAUAGGGAUGAAUUUCCCAUGAAUGGUUUAGCACCAUCCUCUUGGUGCUGUCCUCACAAUUGUGAGUGAGUUCCCCUGAGAUCUGGUUGUUUUAGAGUGUGUGGUGUGCCCCCUCACUCUCUCCCUCUUGUUUCGUCUCUCACCAUGUGACUUGCAGGCUCCUGCAGACCAUUAAACCCAUUAAACCUCUUUUCCUUAUAAAUUACCCAGUCUCAGGUAUUUGUUAUAGCAAUGCAAGAAUGGUCUAACACAUUGGUACACCAAUGUCCAAAGCAGCAUUAUUCACCAAAAGGUGGAAACAAUCCCAAUGUCCAUCAACAAUUUGAACGGAUAAACACAAUGUUGUAUAUACAUGCAAUGGAGUAUUGUGUAGCCUUAAAAACAGUUGAAUUCUGGCACAUGCUCCAACACGGAUGAACCUUGAAAAUAGGCUAAAUAAAAUAAGCCAGGUUCAAAAGGACAAAUACUGUAUAAUUCCAGUUAUAUAAGGUACCUGUUAUAGGCAAAUUUAUCCAGACAGAAAUAGAGGUUACCAGGGCCUGGGGAGAGGAGGGAAUAGGGAGUUAGUGUUUAAUGAGUACAGAGUUUCAGCUUGGGAUGAAGAAAAUGUUUCGGUGAUGGCUGCACAACCAUAUUAAUAUAUGCGAUGACACUGAAGUGUAUAUCUAAAAAUGGCUAAAAUGGUAAUUUUAUGUUAUGUAUGUUUACCACAAUAAAACAAGUUUUAAAAAA
RNAcentral lists this long non-coding RNA (6102 nucleotides) under Homo sapiens (human). RNAcentral describes it as "HSALNT0161140". Lineage: Eukaryota; Metazoa; Chordata; Mammalia; Primates; Hominidae. The record is from RNAcentral.